This 77-nucleotide small RNA is filed under the name Arabidopsis thaliana (thale cress). RNAcentral describes it as "ATSL218840". Lineage: Eukaryota; Viridiplantae; Streptophyta; Magnoliopsida; Brassicales; Brassicaceae. The record is from RNAcentral.
AUCCAGUGAGACUACUAUUCCAUGAUAAAUCCAAUACGACAAGGUUAGGCAUGAAUCGAAAGAAUUCUCCGGAAAUA